RNAcentral lists this small nuclear RNA (107 nucleotides) under Procavia capensis (Cape rock hyrax). Lineage: Eukaryota; Metazoa; Chordata; Mammalia; Hyracoidea; Procaviidae. The record is from RNAcentral.
GUACUCAAUUUGGCAGUGCAUAUACUAAAAUUGGAAUGAUACAGAGAAGAUUAGCAUGGCCCCCGCAUAAGGAUGACAUGCAAAUUGAUGAAGCAUGCUAUAUUUUU